This 501-nucleotide ribosomal RNA is filed under the name uncultured bacterium. RNAcentral describes it as "partial 16S ribosomal RNA". It matches the Rfam family "Bacterial small subunit ribosomal RNA", at positions 30 to 523 of the family's 1533-position model. The record is from RNAcentral.
AUUGAACGCUGGCGGCAUGCCUUACACAUGCAAGUCGAACGGCAGCACGGGUGCUUGCACCUGGUGGCGAGUGGCGAACGGGUGAGUAAUAUAUCAGAACGUACCUUAUUGUGGGGGAUAACGCAGCGAAAGCUGUGCUAAUACCGCAUAAUCCCUAAGGGGGAAAGCGGGGGACCGUAAGGCCUCGCGCAAUUAGAGCGGCCGAUACCUGAUUAGCUAGUUGGUGAGGUAAAGGCUCACCAAGGCAACGAUCAGUAGCUGGUCUGAGAGGACGAUCAGCCACACUGGGACUGAGACACGGCCCAGACUCCUACGGGAGGCAGCAGUGGGGAAUUUUGGACAAUGGGGGCAACCCUGAUCCAGCAAUGCCGCGUGAGUGAAGGAGGCCUUCGGGUUGUAAAGCUCUUUUGUCAGGGAAGAAACAGCAGCUCUAACACAGCAUGCGAAUGACGGUACCUGAAGAAUAAGCACCGGCUAACUACGUGCCAGCCGCCGCGGUAA